Molecule: non-coding RNA, 640 nt
Organism: Paramisgurnus dabryanus
Lineage: Eukaryota; Metazoa; Chordata; Actinopteri; Cypriniformes; Cobitidae
Source: the annotation of a RefSeq genome assembly
AUGAGGAGAAAUUACUGUUGUGGACUUUUAGCAGAGGACCCAAACGUUGAGGUUUUUGUACAGGCACUGAAUGGGUUUGUAUCACUGUGGUACACUUUUGGUGGCGGCACAAGACUCUCAGUUGGAAAUAACGCUCUCCCUACUCUAACGGUCCUGCCUCCCUCCAGAGAUGAGUUAAAUCAGGGUAAAGCUACAGUCAUGUGUGUUGGCAGUAAUGGUUUUCCCUCUGACUGGAAGCUGAACUGGAAGGUUGAUGGUAACAGCAGGAGCUCUGGUGUGAAUCUGAGUCCCAGUGUACUGCUGAAGGAUGGACUGUACAGCUGGAGCAGCAGUCUGAGUCUCACUGACAAUGAAUGGAGAUCAGCAAAAACCAUCAGCUGUGAGGCCACACAGAGCUCACAGAAUCCAGUCAUCAAAACCAUUGACACACAACAGUGUGAUGCAUAAUGAUAACACGCACACACGCAUGCACAUACACACACAUGAUUUAUACUACUAAAUCUUAUAAAAAAAUAUUUUUCACUGUUUGCUGAGGUUCUGUUGCUUUAUUACUGUAGCCUAUUGUAGUGCAUAUGACAGCAGACUUUAUUAAUUUGCUCAUUUCUAUAUUUUGGUUACAAAAUAAAUUCAUUUUGGCUCA